GAACGGGUGAGUAACACGUGAGCAACCUGCCCCUGACUCUGGGAUAAGCGGUGGAAACGCCGUCUAAUACCGGAUAUGACCUGCCACCUCAUGGUGGCGGGUGGAAAGUUUUAUCGGUCAGGGAUGGGCUCGCGGCCUAUCAGCUUGUUGGUGGGGUAACGGCCUACCAAGGCGAUUACGGGUAGCCGGCCUGAGAGGGCGACCGGCCACACUGGGACUGAGACACGGCCCAGACUCCUGCGGGAGGCAGCAGUGGGGAAUAUUGCACAAUGGGCGAAAGCCUGAUGCAGCGACGCCGCGUGGGGGAUGACGGCCUUCGGGUUGUAAACCUCUUUUACCACCAACGCAGGCUCCACGUUUUCGUGGGGUUGACGGUAGGUGGGGAAUAAGGACCGGCUAACUACGUGCCAGCAGCCGCGGUAAUACGUAGGGUCCGAGCGUUGUCCGGAAUUAUUGGGCGUAAAGAGCUCGUAGGCGGCAUGUCGCGUCUGCUGUGAAAGACCGGGGCUUAACUCCGGUUCUGCAGUGGAUACGGGCAUGCUAGAGGUAGGUAGGGGAAACUGGAAUUCCUGGUGUAGCGGUGAAAUGCGCAGAUAUCAGGAGGAACACCGGUGGCGAAGGCGGGUUUCUGGGCCUUACCUGACGCUGAGGAGCGAAAGCAUGGGGAGCGAACAGGAUUAGAUACCCUGGUAGUCCAUGCCGUAAACGUUGGGCGCUAGGUGUGGGGACUUUCCACGGUUUCCGCGCCGU
RNAcentral lists this ribosomal RNA (750 nucleotides) under Nocardiopsis metallicus. RNAcentral describes it as "bacterial SSU rRNA". It matches the Rfam family "Bacterial small subunit ribosomal RNA", at positions 100 to 849 of the family's 1533-position model. The record is from RNAcentral. Lineage: Bacteria; Bacillati; Actinomycetota; Actinomycetes; Streptosporangiales; Nocardiopsidaceae.